RNAcentral lists this ribosomal RNA (510 nucleotides) under uncultured bacterium. RNAcentral's name for it is "partial 16S ribosomal RNA". It matches the Rfam family "Bacterial small subunit ribosomal RNA", at positions 28 to 507 of the family's 1533-position model. The record is from RNAcentral.
GACGAACGCUGGCGGCGUGCUUAACACAUGCAAGUCGAACGAAGAGCGAUGGAAGCUUGCUUCUAUCAAUCUUAGUGGCGAACGGGUGAGUAACGCGUAAUCAACCUGCCCUUCAGAGGGGGACAACAGUUGGAAACGACUUCUAAUACCGCAUACGAUCUAAUCUCGGCAUCGAGGAUAGAUGAAAGGUGGCCUCUACAUGUAAGCUAUCACUGAAGGAGGGGAUUGCGUCUGAUUAGCUAGUUGGAGGGGUAACGGCCCACCAAGGCGAUGAUCAGUAGCCGGUCUGAGAGGAUGAACGGCCACAUUGGGACUGAGACACGGCCCAGACUCCUACGGGAGGCAGCAGUGGGGAAUCUUCCGCAAUGGACGAAAGGCUGACGGAGCAACGCCGCGUGAGUGAUGACGGCCUUCGGGUUGUAAAGCUCUGUUAAUCGGGACGAAAGGCCUUCUUGCGAAUAGUGAGAAGGAUUGACGGUACCGGAAUAGAAAGCCACGGCUAACUACGUG